RNAcentral lists this transfer RNA (72 nucleotides) under Armillaria ostoyae. It matches the Rfam family "tRNA". From Rfam's summary of the family: Transfer RNA (tRNA) molecules are approximately 80 nucleotides in length. Their secondary structure includes four short double-helical elements and three loops (D, anti-codon, and T loops). Lineage: Eukaryota; Fungi; Basidiomycota; Agaricomycetes; Agaricales; Physalacriaceae. The record is from RNAcentral.
GCCCUUUUAGCUCAGUGGUAGAGCGCGCCACUCGUAAUGGUGAGGUCAGUCGUUCAAAUCGGCUAUGGGGCU